GGUUAAGCGACUAAGCGUACACGGUGGAUGCCCUGGCAGUCAGAGGCGAUGAAGGACGUGCUAAUCUGCGAUAAGCGUCGGUAAGGUGAUAUGAACCGUUAUAACCGGCGAUUUCCGAAUGGGGAAACCCAGUGUGUUUCGACACACUAUCAUUAACUGAAUCCAUAGGUUAAUGAGGCGAACCGGGGGAACUGAAACAUCUAAGUACCCCGAGGAAAAGAAAUCAACCGAGAUUCCCCCAGUAGCGGCGAGCGAACGGGGAGCAGCCCAGAGCCUGAAUCAGUGUGUGUGUUAGUGGAAGCGUCUGGAAAGGCGCGCGAUACAGGGUGACAGCCCCGUACACAAAAAUGCACAUGCUGUGAGCUCGAUGAGUAGGGCGGGACACGUGGUAUCCUGUCUGAAUAUGGGGGGACCAUCCUCCAAGGCUAAAUACUCCUGACUGACCGAUAGUGAACCAGUACCGUGAGGGAAAGGCGAAAAGAACCCCGGCGAGGGGAGUGAAAAAGAACCUGAAACCGUGUACGUACAAGCAGUGGGAGCACGCUUAGGCGUGUGACUGCGUACCUUUUGUAUAAUGGGUCAGCGACUUAUAUUCUGUAGCAAGGUUAACCGAAUAGGGGAGCCGAAGGGAAACCGAGUCUUAACUGGGCGUUAAGUUGCAGGGUAUAGACCCGAAACCCGGUGAUCUAGCCAUGGGCAGGUUGAAGGUUGGGUAACACUAACUGGAGGACCGAACCGACUAAUGUUGAAAAAUUAGCGGAUGACUUGUGGCUGGGGGUGAAAGGCCAAUCAAACCGGGAGAUAGCUGGUUCUCCCCGAAAGCUAUUUAGGUAGCGCCUCGUGAAUUCAUCUCCGGGGGUAGAGCACUGUUUCGGCAAGGGGGUCAUCCCGACUUACCAACCCGAUGCAAACUGCGAAUACCGGAGAAUGUUAUCACGGGAGACACACGGCGGGUGCUAACGUCCGUCGUGAAGAGGGAAACAACCCAGACCGCCAGCUAAGGUCCCAAAGUCAUGGUUAAGUGGGAAACGAUGUGGGAAGGCCCAGACAGCCAGGAUGUUGGCUUAGAAGCAGCCAUCAUUUAAAGAAAGCGUAAUAGCUCACUGGUCGAGUCGGCCUGCGCGGAAGAUGUAACGGGGCUAAACCAUGCACCGAAGCUGCGGCAGCGACGCUUAUGCGUUGUUGGGUAGGGGAGCGUUCUGUAAGCCUGUGAAGGUGUGCUGUGAGGCAUGCUGGAGGUAUCAGAAGUGCGAAUGCUGACAUAAGUAACGAUAAAGCGGGUGAAAAGCCCGCUCGCCGGAAGACCAAGGGUUCCUGUCCAACGUUAAUCGGGGCAGGGUGAGUCGACCCCUAAGGCGAGGCCGAAAGGCGUAGUCGAUGGGAAACAGGUUAAUAUUCCUGUACUUGGUGUUACUGCGAAGGGGGGACGGAGAAGGCUAUGUUGGCCGGGCGACGGUUGUCCCGGUUUAAGCGUGUAGGCUGGUUUUCCAGGCAAAUCCGGAAAAUCAAGGCUGAGGCGUGAUGACGAGGCACUACGGUGCUGAAGCAACAAAUGCCCUGCUUCCAGGAAAAGCCUCUAAGCAUCAGGUAACAUCAAAUCGUACCCCAAACCGACACAGGUGGUCAGGUAGAGAAUACCAAGGCGCUUGAGAGAACUCGGGUGAAGGAACUAGGCAAAAUGGUGCCGUAACUUCGGGAGAAGGCACGCUGAUAUGUAGGUGAAGCGACUUGCUCGUGGAGCUGAAAUCAGUCGAAGAUACCAGCUGGCUGCAACUGUUUAUUAAAAACACAGCACUGUGCAAACACGAAAGUGGACGUAUACGGUGUGACGCCUGCCCGGUGCCGGAAGGUUAAUUGAUGGGGUUAGCGCAAGCGAAGCUCUUGAUCGAAGCCCCGGUAAACGGCGGCCGUAACUAUAACGGUCCUAAGGUAGCGAAAUUCCUUGUCGGGUAAGUUCCGACCUGCACGAAUGGCGUAAUGAUGGCCAGGCUGUCUCCACCCGAGACUCAGUGAAAUUGAACUCGCUGUGAAGAUGCAGUGUACCCGCGGCAAGACGGAAAGACCCCGUGAACCUUUACUAUAGCUUGACACUGAACAUUGAGCCUUGAUGUGUAGGAUAGGUGGGAGGCUUUGAAGUGUGGACGCCAGUCUGCAUGGAGCCGACCUUGAAAUACCACCCUUUAAUGUUUGAUGUUCUAACGUUGACCCGUAAUCCGGGUUGCGGACAGUGUCUGGUGGGUAGUUUGACUGGGGCGGUCUCCUCCUAAAGAGUAACGGAGGAGCACGAAGGUUGGCUAAUCCUGGUCGGACAUCAGGAGGUUAGUGCAAUGGCAUAAGCCAGCUUGACUGCGAGCGUGACGGCGCGAGCAGGUGCGAAAGCAGGUCAUAGUGAUCCGGUGGUUCUGAAUGGAAGGGCCAUCGCUCAACGGAUAAAAGGUACUCCGGGGAUAACAGGCUGAUACCGCCCAAGAGUUCAUAUCGACGGCGGUGUUUGGCACCUCGAUGUCGGCUCAUCACAUCCUGGGGCUGAAGUAGGUCCCAAGGGUAUGGCUGUUCGCCAUUUAAAGUGGUACGCGAGCUGGGUUUAGAACGUCGUGAGACAGUUCGGUCCCUAUCUGCCGUGGGCGCUGGAGAACUGAGGGGGGCUGCUCCUAGUACGAGAGGACCGGAGUGGACGCAUCACUGGUGUUCGGGUUGUCAUGCCAAUGGCACUGCCCGGUAGCUAAAUGCGGAAGAGAUAAGUGCUGAAAGCAUCUAAGCACGAAACUUGCCCCGAGAUGAGUUCUCCCUGACUCCUUGAGAGUCCUGAAGGAACGUUGAAGACGACGACGUUGAUAGGCCGGGUGUGUAAGCGCAGCGAUGCGUUGAGCUAACCGGUACUAAUGAACCGUGAGGCUUAACCUU
Molecule: ribosomal RNA, 2904 nt
Filed under: Escherichia coli
Lineage: Bacteria; Pseudomonadati; Pseudomonadota; Gammaproteobacteria; Enterobacterales; Enterobacteriaceae
Description: 23S ribosomal RNA
Rfam family: Bacterial large subunit ribosomal RNA
Source: RNAcentral